Molecule: long non-coding RNA, 3187 nt
Filed under: Bos grunniens (domestic yak)
Lineage: Eukaryota; Metazoa; Chordata; Mammalia; Artiodactyla; Bovidae
Description: lncRNA (ENSBGRG00000013659.1)
Source: RNAcentral
AUGAGGGGCCCUGACCACCAGAUUGGACAUCUUGCCAUCAGAAGUAACAGUAGGAGGUGGGAGCAGGAACAGAAUACCCAAAGGGUGAUGCCAGGCCUGGAGAGUUACCCUGGUAACCAGAUAGCACUUGGGUCAUGUAGCAGUGAUCUGCUGGUUCAAGAGCCACACUUGAGGAACCACUGCGGUAAAAGCGACUGCACCGACCAGCGUCUCCUUCAGGACUGCAGGAUUUACCACCUCUGCAUAACCUCAGCUGUGCAGAGCCAAUCUUGCCAAGGUCACGACCUCACCCUGGCGGGUCACCUGGAUCUAAUGAUUGGUUGAUGCUGAACUAAGGUGAUGGGUCUGCUGGUUGCAAUUUCUCAGCUUUGCCUGAGGUUGCAUCACAACUCCAGUUCUCCCUCUGCCGGGUCCUGUCUGCUUCCCUUUGUUCUUUGGUGUUAAUUCCAGACCAUUUCCCAGUAUAUCUCCUGUGAGAGAAUCCACCUCCGACUCUGCUUCUCAGGGAUGUGCAACACUUGGAGUAGAGUCACUUAAACAUCACCUCUUGGUGAGACCACUCCUGACCAUUCCAUGCCCUCCCCUCUUCCUUACUGAUUGGUUGUCUUUGUCGAAUUCACUACUCUGACACUCUCGUUAAGAGACCUAAUGCUUUGACUAUCUUCUCCUCUAGACUCUAAGCUCUGUAAAGGCAGGGACCCAUCUUUUUGUUCACUGUAUCAUCUUCAGGGACUUGCUCAGGACAGGCAAUUGGUAUUUCUGGGACCAUUUUACUGAAGGAUUUCAUAUUCAACACCUUCUACUGGAGUUCUGAGGCUCCAGCUCAGCACAUUCAGGAGACUGAAAUUCUUGGGAGAGGAGACUGGGAUUCCUGUUCCAAAGGGAGAGAACUCAGCUAUGCUAUUACGCAUGCUCUGAGAAGAGGAUGUCUUCUCCAGUGGUGCAGUGGUAAAGAAUCUGCCUGCCAAUACAGGAGAUAUAGGAGACUUGGGUUCGAUCCUGGGUUGGGAAGAUACCCUGGAGGAGAAAACGGCAACCCAUUCCAGUAUUCUUGCCUGGAAAAUUCCAUGAACAGAGGAGCUUGGGGGCUAUAGUCCAUGGGGUCGCAAAGAGUCAGAUACGACUAUGCACAUACAUGUAUGCACUAUGAUGCUUUGAGAAGAGCAUCUCAAUCUUCCUAGAAUACAACUGCUUUUUCCUUUCCUGGGGAGUUAUUUUAAGAUGGCAGAUGUUGGUGACUCUCUGCCCCACUUCCUCCCUGCAACCCAGCAUCCCUCCAGCAGGCCCACUCCUCAGCUUUGAGGCGGGCUCCUCUUGGUGAUCUGUGGCCAGGAACUGUCACCCACAGGCACUGAACACUUCCUGGUCCACUCAGUGCUGAGUGAGAUCUGAAGGAGGCAACAAAGGAGCCCUUUGAUCAGACACUGAAAAGCAAAGGCUGCAAAAUGCUUGGAAUGCUGAACAUACUCCGUGGAGCUCUUCCUCCCGGGAGCCCAGGGUGCGGUCUCCCAGGGAGUACAGAUAACGGGAUGAGGGAGGCACCGCCCAGGGCCUGCCAAGGCAGAGAGCUCAGCAGCCCAAGGAUGAGUCAAGUGCAUCCAAACAGAAGCUGAAAAUAAGUCGGCAAAGCACUUAAAGGCAUGCUUAUCUCGUUGAAUAAUUCAGCAGGCUGGCUGACUGUGAGCUGGAAGCUGGUUCACAGUUAAUGGAAUAUUUCCUGUAAAUAUUAUUUUCUCUUCCUGUCUCAUCGUUUCAUCCAGUUCAAAAAUCUUUACUAAUCUGGGGUGGUGACAAGCAAUGCAUCAGUUCUCUGAGCUAAUGCUCCCGAUUCUGAAAUGCUCAGAGGAACCAUAGGAAGCUGCAUUGGCUGCUCUGGGGAGAAGGGCAGAACAUUUACUCUGGUUCCUUCUCCUAAUGUCUCAGAGGAGCCCUCUGCGCUCCUAAUUGUGCAUCUAAGUGAACAUAAGAGCGCCUAAUUGCACAUCAAAUAAAUAAGUAAAUGUUGUCUGCUGAAUACGUAAUAAGGACCAGCGCUGUCAUCCUCCCCCACGGAGAGAUUUCAUUAAAUAUGGGCUGGUGAGGGGCUGCAGCAAUCAGUGAUGAUUUACAGAUAUUGAAUAUUGCUUCUAAGGUUUCUUUGGAGCCACGUGUUUCACACUGUUCUUUUUAAUGCAUAUAGCGUCUGAUAAAGCCUGAUGGACGGAUCUUUAUUCUGACUCUUCCUGGCCCCAUUCAGAAAGCAUUUUCUGUUGUAAAUGAUAAUGUUUUCUGAUGAUUCAAUGGCUGGGCUCACCACAGGAUUGGGGAGUGCAGACUACAGCCAGAGGACAGAGCACACAGUGCCGGGUCCAGCCCGGCUGAUCCAGGGUAUUUGAAGGAGAGACGGCAUAGGCGACCUAUUUAUUUAAAUAUUUUAUCAAAGAUAUAAAGAGUAAUAGGAUGAGGAUAGCUCAGUGAGGAAAUUCAGUGGAGAAAAGAGGCUGAAUAAUUCAGCCAGAAGGUAAGAGAAAGAACGACAUGGUGAGACCAAGUUUCGUGAACAAGGCCCGCACUUUAUUUUCCAAAGUAGUUUUAUACCUUAAGUUAUGCAUAGAGGAUAAUGGGGAAGGGGUAGAGUCAUGCAGCAACACAGCUCAGCUUGGUGCUGGUGGGAACUGAGUCUCGAGCGUGGGAGAAGUGAAUCACCUGAAACCUUUGGCCCCAGUGCUCCCAAGAAGAGGCAGAUUGUCCCAGAGAUCAGAGCUUUCAGAAUUUUUCAGGCUCUGAUCUAUGAGUGCAAGGUCCUCCUCAAAAGAGGGAGCCCUUUGUGAUCGACUUUACCCAGCUUUAUUUAUCUCUGCCCCAUGUGAUCCUGGUUCCACAGGAGUUAACAAACAAUGUAUUUUCUGUAUAGAUCAUUUAAUUUUCAUUCAAAUGUUCUCAGCGAAGUAGAAACACUCUUGCUUGUACCAACACAGCUGCCUGAGACUGACAUGCCAGCUGAUUCGCGGCAUGUCCCCACUGAUGGUCACUUAAUGUAGUGGCAUUUACUCCUGUUUGAUGCUUCUGUGUCUUUCCUUGGCCAUAAAUAUAACCCAAGAUGAAGUUUGAUCUUUUACUGAGUGUCCAAGCGCCCUUGAACUGACAAGUUCAACUGAUAAUGUUUCAUGAUUCCCUGAAGUCAACCGACAGUUAUUUAGUCACUAAG